This 432-nucleotide ribosomal RNA is filed under the name uncultured bacterium. Its description in RNAcentral is "partial 16S ribosomal RNA". It matches the Rfam family "Bacterial small subunit ribosomal RNA", at positions 29 to 507 of the family's 1533-position model. The record is from RNAcentral.
GCGAACGCUGGCGGCAGGCUUAACACAUGCAAGUCGAGCGGGCACUUCGGUGUCAGCGGCAGACGGGUGAGUAACACGUGGGAACGUACCCUUCGGUUCGGAAUAACGCUGGGAAACUAGCGCUAAUACCGGAUACGCCCUUUUGGGGAAAGGUUUACUGCCGAAGGAUCGGCCCGCGUCUGAUUAGCUAGUUGGUGGGGUAAUGGCCUACCAAGGCGACGAUCAGUAGCUGGUCUGAGAGGAUGAUCAGCCACACUGGGACUGAGACACGGCCCAGACUCCUACGGGAGGCAGCAGUGGGGAAUAUUGGACAAUGGGCGCAAGCCUGAUCCAGCCAUGCCGCGUGAGUGAUGAAGGCCUUAGGGUUGUAAAGCUCUUUUGUCCGGGACGAUAAUGACGGUACCGGAAGAAUAAGCCCCGGCUAACUUCGUG